GGGGGCGAAAUGGGUUCGACGGGAACGGUAAAGCCGGGUGUGCAGGCCGGAGAAGGAUACUCCGUAAAAAACCAACGGCAAACAAUUCCCGAACGUGAAAUCGCUCUCGCUGCUUAAUUAAUGCAGCGACCUCCUCUUGAGCUUACCCGUGGGCUCAAGAAGGGGGACAGAUACACGGGUUAGGGAAAUACCUUCUCCCCUCGGGUAUUUCCUGAAAUCUUAGAGGGGAUAGCCUGUGGAUACCCUGCCUGUGGGGUCGCCACAGGUGAAAGCCAAAACACAGGCUAAGCCUGUAGAAAGCCCGUGCUACGGCCGUUCUCGGACGGGGGUUCGAUUCCCCCCGCCUCCACUU
Molecule: transfer-messenger RNA, 352 nt
Filed under: Hydrogenothermaceae
Lineage: Bacteria; Pseudomonadati; Aquificota; Aquificia; Aquificales
Also listed under: 1 other name
Description: QNZC01 sp003978485 Standard tmRNA
Rfam family: transfer-messenger RNA
About the family: Bacterial tmRNA, also known as 10Sa RNA or SsrA, is named for its dual tRNA and mRNA-like properties. Its role is to liberate the mRNA from a stalled ribosome. To accomplish this part of the tmRNA is used as a reading frame that ends in a translation stop signal.
Source: RNAcentral